RNAcentral lists this ribosomal RNA (442 nucleotides) under Pristimantis sp. QCAZ 25588. RNAcentral describes it as "partial 16S ribosomal RNA". It matches the Rfam family "Bacterial large subunit ribosomal RNA", at positions 1849 to 2572 of the family's 2925-position model. The record is from RNAcentral. Lineage: Eukaryota; Metazoa; Chordata; Amphibia; Anura; Strabomantidae.
GAGGCCCAGCCUGCCCAGUGACUGUUCAACGGCCGCGGUAUUCUAACCGUGCAAAGGUAGCGUAAUCACUUGUCUUCUAAAUAAAGACUAGUAUGAAAGGCACCACGAGGACUAAACUGUCUCCUUUUUCUAAUCAGUGAAUCUAAUCUCCCCGUGAAGAAGCGAGGAUAAAAAUAUAAGACGAGAAGACCCUGUGGAGCUUAAAACAAUUUCAUGUUUUUGGUUGGGGUGACCGCGGAGAAAAACCCAUCCUCCACAGUGAAAAAUAAGUUACAACCUUGCGCAUUAAAAAAUUAACACUAUUGACCCAAUAUUUUGAUCAAUGAACCAAGUUACCCCAGGGAUAACAGCACAAUCCACUUCGAGAGCCCCUAUCGACAAGUGGGCUUAUGACCUCGAUGUUGGAUCGGGGUAUCCUAGUGGUGCAGCCGCUACUAAUGGU